Molecule: non-coding RNA, 112 nt
Organism: Acanthosepion pharaonis
Lineage: Eukaryota; Metazoa; Mollusca; Cephalopoda; Sepiida; Sepiidae
Source: the annotation of a GenBank genome assembly
UUACGGCCACAUCACGCUGAAACAGCAGUUCCCGUAUGAUCACCGAAGUUAAGCGACGUCGUACCUGGUCAGUAUAUAGAUGAGUGACCGCUUGGGGAUACCAGUUGUUGUA